GAUGAAGAACGUAGCGAAAUGCGAUAAGUAAUGUGAAUUGCAGAAUUCAGUGAAUCAUCGAAUCUUUGAACGCACAUUGCGCCCAUUAGUAUUCUAGUGGGCAUGCCUGUUCGAGCGUCAUUAAGUCCACUUAAGCCCUGCUUAGUGUUGGGAGACUGCUCCAGCGGUGCUACCCUGUAGCUACCCUGCAGCUCCUCAAAGACAGCGGCAGAGUUGUGGUAUCCUCUGAGCUUAGUAACUUGUUCUAGCUUUCGAGUACACCACUUCCCCUGCCGUAAAACCCUUAAUUUUUAAUGGUUGACCUCGGAUCAGGUAGGAAUACCCGCUGAACUUAAGCAUAUCAAUAAGCGGAGGA
This 355-nucleotide unclassified non-coding RNA is filed under the name soil metagenome. RNAcentral describes it as "partial contains 5.8S ribosomal RNA, internal transcribed spacer 2, and large subunit ribosomal RNA". The stretch from base 1 to 120 matches the Rfam family "5.8S ribosomal RNA", at positions 35 to 154 of the family's 154-position model. The record is from RNAcentral.